This 6322-nucleotide small RNA is filed under the name Rattus norvegicus (Norway rat). Its description in RNAcentral is "uncharacterized LOC102549277". The record is from RNAcentral. Lineage: Eukaryota; Metazoa; Chordata; Mammalia; Rodentia; Muridae.
CACAAAUUAAAAACAAAUCUUAAAAGAACGAAGUGGCGCCUCCUUUCCUUCUGUGUCCAAAGACAUUGUAACCAGGAAAGUAACAAAGGCUUUGGACCUGGCAAUGAGCCAAGCAGUUUCCUCCUCCUCCUUAAAACUCCCGUCACCUGAAGCAACACAGUCUGUCUGGGUUCUAGAAUCUCGAUCCAUAAAACAAAACAUCUCUGAAGGCAAAUGGUGUAAAUAUUACUAAAAAUAUAAGAUGACCAACUGUUGGGAUACGCUUAGCCUUUGGCAGCAAAUGUCUUCAUUGCCACGUGUGGGUUGCAUCACUAACUAUUAUGCCUUAUUAUCCAUGUUACUCAAACAAAUACCUCUGUUUCCACUUGAAUUAAAUGUGGCUAUCUUGGUUAGUUUCUGUUAACUUGACACAAGCUAGAGUCACUUGAAAAAAGAGAACCUCAACUGAGAGAAUGCCCCUACUAGGUUAGCCUAUGGGGCAGUUUCUAGAAUGAUUGAUGUGAGUGAGCUCAGCCCACUGUGGGCGGGGCCAUGCUCAGGUAGGUGGUCCUGGGGUGUAUAAGAAAGCAGUCUGAGGCAGCCAUGAGGAGCACACAGUAAGCAGUGUUUCGUCAUAGUCUCUGCUUCAGUUCCUGCCCUGACUUCCCGAGAUUGGAGACUGUAAGGUGUAAUUGUAAAAUAAACUCUUUUUCCAAUUUGCUUUUUGGUCAUCGUGCUUUAUCACAGCAUUAGAAACCCUAAAUAAGAAACCCAGAGAUCCUCUGCACUUGAGUAUUUAAUCCCAGCCAACAAAUCGAUCGUGCAGGAAGCCCCUUCAUGUGGUUAUUCAAAUAUGAGAGAGAAUAUGUGUACGACAGUAUGGUUAACAUGUUUAUUAUUUUAAAGACCAGUCACAUGCCAUUAAAGUCUGACACAAUUAUCUUAGAGGAUGACAGCCUGUAAUAGAUAAAGAUAAAGGGAUGAACAGUCCAAUAUAUACUGAAAAAAAAUGGAACCCAGGUAUGGUUCCCAGCACCCACAUGGCAACUCACAAACAUCUGUAACUCCAGUUCCAGCAGAACCAACACCCUCUGACCUUCAGGAGCACCAGUAACAGGUGUAGUGAAUGUGCACACAUUCAGGCAUUCAUCACACACACACACACACACACACACACACACACACACACACACACAAGGAAUAGAUUCUAAAAUUAUCAAAAAAUGGAAGCUUAAAGAAUACAUACAAGCCUUAGAAUAUUGAAUCAGCAGGCCUUUAUUUCUACUGUUGGAAAACACAAGGAAGUGGCCUGCUGUCUAUAUCUGUUCUCUACUUUAUCUCAAACGACUAGCUCAGGCUAACCCUUCUUCAAACAUGAAGUAGCACACGUAUUUUAUAGGUCCCAGUCUAUAGACAAUUUCCAGAUGUGGAGAUCACUUCCGGACAAAGCCCCUGGAGAAAACACCCUCCCAUAUGGAUCUAGCUCUUAACUGGCUUUGUGUAAAUUUUCCUGGCCUGGCCAACUCCUCUCUCGAUUCACAGAACCUUAGGGAACUUUAUGAAUUAAUUGAAAAAAGCCAUCAGCAGAGAUUUGAGAAGAUGGCCGAUCUCUGAUUCACAGGUGGCAGGCCAUUACUCCCCAGUGGGGGCUUCUGGGAUAGAAGUCAGCCUGUUCACAUUUUCACUUUGUCCACUGCCGUCACUAAUGAGACAGGUAUCUUCGGGGCAAUCCCCGUGAGCUCACAUACAAGCAUGACCUUACUCAUCUUUAAAGCACAUUUGUACAUUUCUCUGAUGACUCCAAGAUGCUGAGUUUUAAGCACAAUUCCUUCGUGCUUAAUAUAUUUCUGGUGGCUCCCAAAUUAGCUUUUAAGCCAACCAUUGGGGGCUAUUUUUGGUUCGCUGGACCAUUAAUUUCCAAGUCCAAAAUGAAAUCCUCUGAGAGAAGAGAUCAAAAAAUGUGUCCUUUAAGUUACACAAAGAACCGGAAAUUCCCUACAGGAAAUUAAUACUCUAAUUAUAAACUUUCUGGUUGAGAAAGUUUUCAAAAGCUUUGUCUCUUUUGUGAAGUCGAAGCCACUGGUUUGGCUUCGUUUCAUUUUCCUCCAUUCAAAACAUAUGAGAAUAUUCCCAAAACAUCGGAGCAGCUGGCCCCCUCAAAACCAACUGUUCUCAUGCUCCUGGCACUGCAGAAGAGCUCCAGCCUGCUGCCCGACAGUCAUGGCCGCUUCCGAAUGGUGUGGCAGUGUUCAGGGUGGCGUGUUCUCCUGCCAAAAUUACAGCUUUGAGGCCGUACUGGAAAGAAGGGUCAACCACAGUUGAUAGCUGAGUGUAGCAGUACCUCUCCCCUUUUCUUUCCAAUUUAGCCCAUUUAAAUGUUUAGAAAACAUCGAGGAGAUUAUCUCGUGGCCCUGGGUGUUCACCUUGUCAUGACGGUCUCAGUUUACCUUUAAGACUAACAUUCUAUUAAAGGCACGACCUUUCUGGAAGCUACUUCGUGUAUUUUUUCCUAGUACUUCUGGCAGAACACGGUAAGGUAAGCACGUGCUAGAAGUGGAGGGAAAGGAGAUAACUGAGGCUGCCGUCAAAUGCAGCCAGAGUUUAUAAUCCUAAAUCAGGUUUGACCCCAGGAGUAAAGCUGUGGUUUGACAUUCGAGUCUAAGGUAUCUUGCUUGGUCUCGUAGCUACAGGACCACGUCAAAUGUCAAAUGUUCUCUUGAUCACUCAACUUUCCUGCACAAAGUCGACAAACUUCCCAGGCACGGUGUCCACAGUUUGACACAGAGGCUACAAGAGAAGCUAAAGAUUUAAGGGUAAUGAAUCUACACUGUUCCAUAAUGCUGGCAGGAGUGUUAGCCAGAAUAAGACAGUACAUAAACUGUAUAUGGUCACCUAAUUAGUACAAUCCACAGGAUGCCAAAAUGCUUACUACUGAUCAGAAAGUUUCUUUAUCAGAUUCACUAGUCUAAUUUGGCAAUAAAUCUUAUGCCAUUUUCUUCGGUGAGCUGUGUAAGCCAACUUGCAAAGAAGGUAAUUUUCAGUUCCUAUUGUAUAGCUGAAAGAAUUGAGUACUUCACAGGUGUGACUUGCUUUAAUACGAUGUAUUCUUCUAUUCCUCUCUCUAGGGCCCUCAUGACCCUCCUUUACUUUCUUGACCUCUGUAGUUUCUCCUUGCCGAAGACAGCCUGUACUGCAGGCACAGAACUUGGAAUAUUCAAGCUGGAUCUGACCUGAAAGCCUCAUCUCUGGGGAGCUUUUCUUAUAUUAGCUUUCAGAAUACCGAAAGGUUCUAUUCAGGCUGCAAUAGGAGAGAAACAAUCAAUAGUGCUACCCUACCCAUGAUACCUGUGAUCCACAGCCAUGACUGUCAUGGCAAAACAGCCUUAAUUGUACAACAGUGGCGCCCAUGUCUUGGCAAUAACCAACAGCUCUCUGGUUGGGCUUAGGGUUCAUUCAACAGUAGGGAAAUCAUGGCUUGCUACUUGAAACCUAGCCAACGACCAACUACCAAGGCUAGUGAGGUCAUGAAUCUUAGAGGAGAGCCUCCGACCACAGGUUUACUAGAUCAAUAUAAUUCCUAACUGCAUUCUAAAUACUUAUCCUUAUAUUUGUGUUGUAAAUAAAUUUCGUCUUCUCCUCUCACUAAAGAAGCGUCUCUUUGCAGCAGAGACUACCACAGAAAACCACAGCUGGUCACAACGCAGAGAGCAAUGUGUCGCUGAGGCCCAGCCCCACUGGAGGCAUCUACAGCAUACGUUUCUGCAACUGAGGCUCAGGAUGUCAAGGAAGAAGAGAAGGAAAGAUUGUUAUAGCCAGUGGAAUGGCUGGCGUGUCCUAGAAAUGACACAGAAGCCACACCCACAAAGCCCAGAUAAUGUCAACACUAAGAGAAGGAGGAACUCUCCAGGGACCCCAGCCCUAGACAGAGAAGAACAGGCAAUGAAAACUGCCUCUGAAAGAGGGAGAAUUAUUCUUUCCCAAGGAUAAAGCCCCUAAUUGUCUAGCCAAUACUGGUGGCUGGCUGUGAAGCCUACAGUCGACUCUAGACAGUUCAGGGGGUUGCGCUUAUAUGGAUAUAUGUGGGUAACAACAAUAAUGAAAGAAAAAGAGACCAUGAACUCGAGAAGGAGCUAGGGUAGGGAAUGAGAGGAACUGGAGAAAGGGGACAUCAGAGGGUUUGAGGGAGGAGAAGGAAGCAAAAGUGAUGUAAUUGUAUUUUAGUUAAAAUUUAAAAGUUAUUUUGAAACGUUCACAUUCUUAUGUGAAUGUACAAAUGUCCUCAGGUCUUGUGUGUUAAUCAAUCACGUGCCUUGUGCCAACAGAGCACAGAGGACAAUGUCCGAUCACCCUCAGGUGGAGUGAUAGAUCUAAGCUGGCAUUUGGAUGAUGGGUACUGAACCCAGGUCCUCUGCAAGAGCAGUAUACACGCCUGUGCCCUCUCUCCACCCCAGUGACCCACUUCUGACUGGCAAGUGGAUGAUAGACAAGAGGAGCAGGAAGGAGAAGGCUUCUCGUUCCAGGAUCACACAUCUAACUCCGGAGGACACAGAUCUCACCCUGGUGAGCCCGGCUCUCGACUCCUUUCCAUUUCUCCCAAGUGUGAUGAAAGUGUUAGUGUCCUAGGACUACAGCAAGAAACACCACACGGAGAAAAUACGUCAUGUCAAUGUGGACCCAAGAAGUAGUGAUGAGUAAUGCAGCAGACCAUGAGACACUCGAACAUCAAAGACACGUGACACCAGGACAGGGCAGACAGCUGUUUCCAUCACCUAUGACAAAUGAAACUGAGACAAAGAUUCACUGGGAGCCACAGCUUUGCCGUGAGAAAUUGGAGCUCUGACAGACACCGACUGACUACAGCAUAGUCAGGACCAGUGCAUUUGCUACCCUAGAGGACAGCUCGUAACUCGUCAAUCUUGCCACUAUUGAUGUCUGGACCAUUAAUGCCUUUCCUUAGGGCUGCCCCGUGUACGAAAGGAUGCCUACCAGCACUGCUGUCCUCCAUCCACCAGCCAGAACAACUGCUCGCCCUUCUCCUAACAACCUGAAUUGUCUCCUCACACUGUCAAGUAUCCCUUGUGGAGUGUAUCUGCCCCCGGCUGAGUCUCUGAUCCUGAUGCCAUUUUGGAAAAGUCAUAUGGCUUCCCUGCUCUCAGUAGCCAGAAAAGCAUUUGGUGAGGCAGUCUUUUACCAUCUCCAGCAUAAGGGAGGGAGGCCCUUUGACAUACGAAAUGAUUAGAGCAUCAAUAUUUUGUUUGCCUUCUUUUCUUAUGGUGGGACUAAAAUGUUCAUUACUUCUUCCAAUAAGGUUGCUGGGACACAGUUAAUUCUUGUCCAAGGUGACUCUGUUACCGAAAUACAUUGCCAUCCUUGCAUCUCAUUUUCCUGAGCUGGUCUAGCAGGCUAAGGAACAAAACUUGGGUCUGUCAUGCAUGGUUGCAGAAGGAGUACAAAAGCACCCACCUGAGUCUGCGAACAAUCAAUGAAGUCCAAUUCAUGCUCCAAACCUAAGGUCCCUGAACUGGCAUAUCGUCACAUUGAUGGAAAACAAAGAAUUGCUCCCCAAAGUCACCUAAAGAUACCAUUUGGGUGGGAAGUGCUUUUGGAUUAUGUUCAAAGGAAGAGAGAGAAAUGGCAAGCAAAAGUGGAGAUGCUGGAGGGAUAGAAACGCCAUGCCAGUCCGGCACGGACAACACCGUCCAUCCGGCGGUGUCCCUGACAUAAUCAGUUCACAGACAGCUGUGCUUUGUACAUGUGAGUGCAACUCAGUCACCAAGAGGCUUCAGCUCUUCAGAAAGGAAGGAGGGUGGGAGAAAGAAGAACUACAACUUGUCCAACCCAGAUCCAAAAGAAGACUUGAAGAACACACACAUGUUGGAUAGAAAUGCUACAUCUACACACAAGAGGGACAGAAACCUUGUCACAGCCAAGAACCAGGUAACUGGGAGUCCACAGGGAAUACUCGGCCUCCUCCUUGCCUCAAGAUCGACGACUCCACACACAGAACAAGGACGGUUCCCCUCAUGUCCACACGCUGCAGCCAGAGACAGGACUACACAUCAAAGCGCAGAUAAACCGUUUUCCAUCUUAGACUUCACUGACCUUGGUAGAUAAAAGCCUGGGGGGUCCCUAUCCCAAAGAAAGGGGAAUGUUAACAGGACACUGUUCCCAACCAUUCUGGAGAAAGUCAGAACACUUCCUGUCUUUAUUCCAUAUGCUGUGCCCAUGAACCAAUUCUUAAGCUCUUACAUUUUAAAAAAUUAUGAGUUAAAACGACAUAAAUGGGCAUAAGCCCCUUUCCUUCCUUCCUUCCUUCCUUCCUUCCUUCCUUUCUUCUUUUUCC